AUUUAUGAUGCUCGAUGAAACAAGUUGUUUUACCAUAAAGAACUAAAAAAUUUCAUGUAUUACACAGAAAUUUUGUGUGUAAGAAUCAACUUCAGGUAAAAGAAUUCUUAGUUCUUGUGAAGAACAGAAAGAAAAUUUAAGACAGAAUAUAUGGACUCAAGGGUGAGUUCUUAACAAAGGAGAGUCUGAUCUGUCACACAUCCAGAGA
Molecule: long non-coding RNA, 208 nt
Filed under: Elaeis guineensis (African oil palm)
Lineage: Eukaryota; Viridiplantae; Streptophyta; Magnoliopsida; Arecales; Arecaceae
Description: long non-coding RNA (EGUI_LNC008610)
Source: RNAcentral